RNAcentral lists this ribosomal RNA (326 nucleotides) under uncultured Bacillota bacterium. RNAcentral describes it as "bacterial SSU rRNA". It matches the Rfam family "Bacterial small subunit ribosomal RNA", at positions 28 to 351 of the family's 1533-position model. Lineage: Bacteria; Bacillati; Bacillota. The record is from RNAcentral.
GAUGAACGCUGGCGGCGUGCUUAACACAUGCAAGUCGAACGGACUGAAUGGAGCUUGCUCCAUGAGGUUAGUGGCGGACGGGUGAGUAACGCGUGGGUAACCUGCCCUAUGCAGGGGGACAACACCGGGAAACUGGUGCUAAUACCGCAUAACAUAUGAGGUUCGCAUGAACUUCAUAUCAAAGAUUUAUCGGCAUAGGAUGGACCCGCGUUGGAUUAGCUAGUUGGUGAGAUAACAGCCCACCAAGGCAACGAUCCAUAGCCGGCCUGAGAGGGUGAACGGCCACACUGGGACUGAGACACGGCCCAGACUCCUACGGGAGGCUG